Molecule: ribosomal RNA, 466 nt
Filed under: uncultured bacterium
Lineage: Bacteria
Description: bacterial SSU rRNA
Rfam family: Bacterial small subunit ribosomal RNA
Source: RNAcentral
CACAUGCAAGUCGAACGGAGAUGUUCGCUGAAAUGACGGUAGCUUGCUACUUGAUUUCUUGGACAUCUUAGUGGCGGACGGGCGAGUAACGCGUGAGCAACCUGCCUUUCAGAGGGGAAUAACGGCUGGAAACGGUCGCUAAUACCGCAUAACGUGUCAUGAUGGCAUCAUCGAGACACCAAAGGAGCAAUCCGCUGAAAGAUGGGCUCGCGUCCGAUUAGAUAGUUGUGGGGUAACGGCUCACCAAGUCGACGAUCGGUAGCCGAACUGAGAGGUUGAUCGGCCGCAUUGGGACUGAGACACGGCCCAGACUCCUACGGGAGGCAGCAGUGGGGGAUAUUGCACAAUGGGGGAAACCCUGAUGCAGCAACGCCGCGUGAGGGAAGAAGGUCUUCGGAUUGUAAACCUAAGUUGUCAGGGACGAAACAUGACGGUACCUGAAGAGAAAGCUCCGGCUAACUACGUG